RNAcentral lists this ribosomal RNA (254 nucleotides) under uncultured bacterium. RNAcentral describes it as "partial 16S ribosomal RNA". It matches the Rfam family "Bacterial small subunit ribosomal RNA", at positions 524 to 776 of the family's 1533-position model. The record is from RNAcentral.
UACGUAGGGGGCAAGCGUUGUUCGGAAUUACUGGGCGUAAAGGGCGCGUAGGCGGUCAGCACAAGUCAGUUGUGAAAUCUCCGGGCUUAACUCGGAAAGGUCAACUGAUACUGUGCGACUAGAGUGCAGAAGGGGCAACUGGAAUUCUCGGUGUAGCGGUGAAAUGCGUAGAUAUCGAGAGGAACACCUGCGGCGAAGGCGGGUUGCUGGGCUGACACUGACGCUGAUGCGCGAAAGCCAGGGGAGCGAACGGG